GUGAUCGGAAGCGGAAGACGCAAUCGAUGGAGUUCGAAACGGACCGCCACCGGAAGCAAUUUCUAGUGGAUCAACCCUAGGGACAUCGUAGGGUACCGGAGAUCCAGCAUACUCAACGGCGAAGGAAUAAUCGAGGUGCUCCUCGUCCGGUAACGGAGCUCCGGCGGGAAGCAUGCGGCGGAGCAUGUCCUGCCAUUUUUUGUCUUCUUCGGUUGACUCCGAUGCCAUUCGAGAGUUUCUGUGAUGUGUUUGGAAAGUGAAAAAGUGUGAGAAAAUGAAAAAUGAAAAGUGAAAAUAGAAAGAAUCAGAGAAAGUGAAAAGUGUUUUAUCAUCUUCUUUUGAUUCUGAGCUGAGAAAGAGAAGAAGACAAAAAUGGGGAAUGAGUUUGUGAGUUGUGAAACUGAGUUGGGAGAUGCUGCUGUAGUUGCUUAAAAGUAAACGGAGUCAGUUAACGGUGGAAUAUAUCUGUCUGAAGUGACGGUGGUGAUUCCAUUAUCUUAAACGUCAUCGUUAUUGCAUUCAUGUAAAUGAGUUUUUAUACUGCCACAAAAGUAGACUUUAGGUUUUGUGCACGCGAGGAAGGAGUCUUUUGGUGGAGUAGAGUUCGGCUUUUACCUUUCCAACUUCUAAUUCGAAUCACCUAACUAGUUUAGUUUUCUCUCCCACUUGAAGUCAUAUAUAAGGAUAGGGAUAAGGAUCUGGGUGAGAAUAUAAUGCAUUGGGUGGAGUUAUUUGUAAGAAUUCCGACUCGACCAUAG
This is a non-coding RNA of Lupinus albus (white lupine), 758 nucleotides long. Lineage: Eukaryota; Viridiplantae; Streptophyta; Magnoliopsida; Fabales; Fabaceae. The record is from the annotation of a GenBank genome assembly.